UUAAAAGCUUGGCUCUUGCCAAAAUCAUUCUCGGGAAUACCUUAGUCGAGUCAUCUAACCGAAUCCACCAAGGCUGUUAAAAAAUUUGUAUACACGUAAACAUAUUUUUAGUUUGGAAAACACAACCGUUCCUUAGCGUUAGCAGAGUUCAUCAUCACGAGGUGGUUCGGCGUGACGUGAACUCUAACCAUAUCUCAGGAGAUACCCUACGCACCUCUCCGAUCGAGGUACGAAUAUAAUCAGAUUUUGUGCCCCUCUAAUAGGCUGGUCCACAGAACCCGCCCAUUGCAGCAAGCUAAACCCACCAUACAAUAAAAAUUCAACAGCAUGACAUGGCAAUUUUAUCAUUAUCCAGCCUAUCAAGGCAAACAACAGUUUAUACAUUUUCAACACAAAUACCAAUUCAACCAUUCAUGCCAAUAUUGCCAUAAGCCAAUCAAUUAGAACCAUAAAUUCACAAUACAUCAAAUGGUCUCCAAUUACUCUAUUUUCAAAGCCAUCAUUUAAUUUCAAGACAAUUUAUAAAAUCAUUUCAUUUAAACACAUUUUAUUUAUAAAACUUAGAAAGUAACCAUUUAAACUCAUUUUUCAUAACAUUCACAAAAUCGAAUAAAAAGACCAUUUUAGAUAAUUAAAAUGAUGAUAAGGUUACUCACCAUUUUGGGAGUCGAAUUUUUAGAGUAAUUCGACUAUCGAUCAUCGGGUACAAUUUCUUUGCCCUUAUCGGAGGAUUCACCACCUAGACAUAAUGCACAAUCAAGCAAUUUACCACAUUGGUGCUAAACCAUUAUAAAAUUAUAUGGAUGCAUGAAAUGGAAUGCAAAUUGUUCGGAUUAUUGUCUAAACAUGAUGUUCUACACAAAUUCAAUUGUGUACCUAAAUAAAACGGUAUUGACCUAAAUCGAUCUAUCACUCGAUUAAUUGGCCAAUAUGCCCAAUUCAACUCCAAUUAACUCCAUUUUUCUUCCAAUUCUCCAAACCAUCAAACACAAGUCAAAUAGCAUAAAAUUUAGCAAAAUGAUCUUCACAUUUUCUCUUGGGAAUUUCGGCCAUGGUGGGUGCAUCAACACUAUAAUUUUUCCUACUUGAUUUUCUCACCGUAAUUCAUCAUUUCCUAACCAAUUCACUUGAAAUAAAAUCAAAUCCACCAUACACACUCUACAUGGAAAAUUCGGCCAAUGAUGGGUAAUGGGAGGAAGUGAAUUUUUCUUGUUGAUUUUUCAUGCUACACAUCACUAACUAUCUAAAAACACUAAAAUACAUUGAAAUCUAACCAAAUCAAGCAUCAAAACGCCUCCCCCUAUGUCCGGCCAGCAAAGGAUUCAUCAUGAUUUCAUGUGAUUCAACCAUGAAAAAUAAGAAAAAAAAUGCUUAAGAAAGAGAGAUCUCAAGUUAGAAUUGAAAAAUCUUACCUUUUGUCACUUGAUUCUUUGAAAUUUUGUGAAUUUCUCUUGAAUUUCUUAGCUAGGUUUUUGUUCUUCUUCUUUUCUUCCCUUUUCUUCCUUUGGCCGGCCAAGAGAAAUGAGUUGGGACGGUUAUGGGCUGAUUUUUAAAGCCAAAUAAAAAAUAAUCCAAGCUUGACACUUGUCACCAUGUUAUUGGUCCAUUUUUAAAUUCUUAACUAUUAACCUUUCUUUCUCCACCACAUAAAAUCCUUCAAGUAUCCAUAAUAAUAAUGGGUGAAAUUCAUGUGCUGGACAAGUGUUGGGUGUGUAAAAUUACCAUUUUGCCCUUGGGGUGGCAAAAUGACUAUUUUACCUUUAUCCUCGAAAAAACGUCGAAAUUAAAAUUUUUCACUUCUCAAACUCAAAUUAUACCCCAAAUGAUCAACCUUAGUCAAAAAUUUCAUCCAACACUAACAUCUUAACCUCGGGUAGCAAAAUGACCAUUUUGGCCCUAGGUCAUGAAAAUUUCAAUUUAACUCCAAAUCGGUCUUCGAACUCCGAAUCACCAUUUUAAGUCAUUCUAAGGUUUUAAAAUUCUCAAUUUCAUCUUAAAAUCUUUAUUUAGUCUAGCUCGAGGCUUAAUUUAACUUAGUUGUACCAUUCAGUACACUAUUGUCUUUUUGACAAUUUUUCGGGGUUUUUCAAGUAUGCAAGCAUAUUGUCAAUCACAUGAAUGACUUGGCAAGUAUUUUAUAAGGUCAGGCUUGACAGCACUACCUCCUUAAAAUAAAAUUUUGACCUCAAAAUUUCACUUACCGGAUUCGAAGAAAAGAUGUGGAUAUUAGUUUCUCAUCUGGUGCUCGACUUCCCACGUUAUCUCCUCCAUUCGAGCAUUCUUCCACAAUACUUUCACCAUUGGAAUGCUCUUGUUCCUUAGUACUCGAUCCUUUCAAUCUAGAAUAUGUACAGGCUGCACCUCGAACUUCAAAUCUUCAUGCAACUCAAUCGGUUGUGUCUCUAGAUUGUGGGAGGGAUCGGGAACAUACUUUUUCAACAUCGACACGUGGAAGACAUUAUGAAUCCGAUCUAACUCUGGGGGUAAUUCAAGUCUAGAAGCCAUUAGCCCAAUCCUUUCAAUGAUACGAAAGGGUCUAACGUAUCUCGGAUUAAGCUUUCCCCGCUUCGCGAAUCGAAUCACACCUUUCAUUAUCCAAUAAAUACCACAAAUUAUCACAAUAGUGUAAUCAAUUGAGAUUUAAUACUUAGAAUUUUCAAAUUAUUACCUUUUUAAGGAGAAACCUUAAGAAAAACUUUAUCGUCGACUUCAAACUCCAAAUCUUUCCUUCGUUUAUCAAAAUAACUCUUCUACCUAUCUUGAGCUAUCUUUAAUCGCUCUCGAAUAACCUUGAUCUUGUCAUUUGUCAGAUCAAUCAAUUCCACAUUAAACAAUUUUCUCUCACCCACUUCAUCCCAACAGAGCGGAGUUCGGCAUUUUCUUCCAUACAGAGCAUCGUAUGGUGCCAUCCCAAUACUAGACUGAAAACUGUUAUUAUACAUGAACUCCACCAAUGGCAAGUGUCUGUCCCAGCUCCCAAUAAAGUCAAUAACACAAGCCCGUAACAUAUCCUCCAAGGUCUGAAUAGUUCUCUAAGAUUGACCAUCUGUUUGCGGAUGAAAGGUAGUGCUAAAUCUCAAAUUAGUUCUGAGAGCUUUCUGAAAUUUCGACCAAAAUUUUAGAAGUAAACGGAGGGUCUCGAUCUGACACAAUAGAAACUGGAACUCCAUGUAAUCUCACAAACUCAUAUAUAUAAAGUCUAGCCAGUUUCUCAAUAGAAUACAUGCUAUGGAUAGCUAAGAAAUGGGCGGACUUAGUCAAUCUAUCCACAAUCACCCAAAUAGCAUCCUUCCCACUCUAUGUCCACGGCAAACCCAAUACAAAGUCCAUAGUCACGUGUUCCCACUUCCAUUCAGGAAUCGACAAAGGCUGAAGAGUACUUGAUGGUUUUUUAUGCUCCGCCUUAAUCUGUUGGCGUGUAGGACAUUUUGUUACAAACUCUACUAUGUCUCGUUUCAUACUCGGCCACCAAUAACUUUCUUUAAUAGUCAUAUACAUCUUGGUGCUUCCGGGAUGUAAAGCGUAGGUGAAAGAAUGAGCUUCCUCUAGAAUAGCUCGUCUCAACUGAUCAUCCUUAGGAACAUAAAUCUAGUCUCUAAGCAUCAAAGUACCAUUAUCACUGAGUCUAAACUCACUAGUUUCUCUAUUUUGCAGCUUUUGAACUUUCUGUUUCAACCAAUCAUCGGAUUUUUGUAAUUCUCUGAUCUGAUUCAACAAUGAAGGUCUCACAACGAAACUAGCAAGUAGGGUUCCAUCUUCACCAUUAUUCAACUGAAUCCCUAGAGACUUCAUCUCAAGUAACAUCGAAAAAUAAGAACUCCGAAGCAUUGCUAUCGACGAUGGGGAUUUACGAUUUAAGGCAUCCGCUACAACAUUUGCCUUUUCAAGGUGAUAAUCAAUCACUAAGUCAUAAUCCUUGAUCAACUCUAGCCACCGUCUUUGUCUCAAAUUAAGUUCUUUUUGGGUGAGCAAAUAUUUCAAACUUUUAUGAUCAGUAAAAAUCCGACAAUGCUCACCAUAUAAAUAAUGCCUCCAAAUCUUCAAUGUAAAGACUACUACUGUUAACUCCAAAUCAUGGGUAGGGUAAUUCGUCUCAUGCUUCUUCAACUGUCGGGAAGCAUAAGCUAUUACUUUUUUCAUCCUGCAUUAAUACACACCCUAAUCCCAACUUAGAGGCAUCAUUGUAUAUCACAAAUUCUUUCCCACCAACAGGAAGUGUUAGAACGAUAAUAGAGGUUAAUCGAUUCUUUAGCUCUAGAAAUCGACUCUCACAAACAUCAUCCCACUCAAACUUAACUCAUUUACGAGUCAGACGAGUCAAAGGAGCAACUAUCAAUGAAAAUCUCCGAACAAAUCUCCGAUAAUAAUCGGCUAAGCCAAGGAAACUGCGAAUCUCAGUUACUGUUCUCGGUUGCUCCCAUUGUAAGAUUGCCUCAAUCUUCUUGAGAUCGACAUAAAUUCCAGCUCCGGACACCACAUGUCCCAAUAAAACCACUUCCUUUAACCAGAACUCAUAUUUAGAGAACUUGGCAUAGAGUUGUUUUUCACGCAAAGUUUGCAACACAAUACGUAAAUGGGCAGCAUGUUCAUCAUCAUUCUUCGAAUAAACCAAGAUGUCAUCUAUGAAUACUAUCACGAACUUAUCUAAGUAUGGAUGGAACACCCUGUUCAUAAGAUCCAUAAAAGCUGUCGGGGCAUUAGUCAAACCAAACGGCAUCACCAGAAACUCAUAAUGCCCAUAACGAGUCCUAAAAGCAGUCUUGGGUACAUCCUGCUCGUUAAUCUUCAACUGAUAAUACCCAAACCUCAAAUCAAUCUUAUAAAACACCAUAGUACCUCGUAAUUGAUCAAAAAGAUCAUCAAUCCGGGGUAGAGGGUAUUUAUUCUUGAUGGUCACUCGGUUCAGUUGACAGUAAUCGAUACACAAUCGAAGAGUGACAUCAUUCUUCUUUACAAAUAGGACUGGUGCUCCCCAAGGAGAAGUGUUAGGGCAAAUAAAAUCCUUUUUCACCAAAUCUUGUAGCUGGACUUUUAAUUCCUUCAACUCUGCCAGAGCCAUUCGAUAUAGAGGGAUAGAAAUAGGUGCGGUACCCGAAAGUAAAUCAAUAGGGAACUCAAGCUCUCGCUCAAGAGGUAGUCCUGGUAAUUCAUCAGAAAAUACAUAAGGAAACUCACUUACUAUUGGUACAUCCUCUAAUUUAGGUUCUUCUUUUGAAGUAUCGAUCACGUGUGCUAAAUAUGUUAGAUACCCUUUCUGUACCAAUUUCAAAGCUUUGAUGGUCGAGAUUACACAGGACUGUAAUACUCGACGUUUCUUUGCAAAAACAAUCUCUGCUCCCUCCGAAUUUCGAAGAACAACUUCUUUCCUGAAACAAUCCACAUUCGCCCGAUGUGCAGUUAACUAGUCCAUACCCAAUAUCAAAUCGAAAUCUUGGAUCUCUAGAGGAAUCAAGUCACCCUUAAAUUCUUCCUCACCAACCAUUACUCCACAAUCUCUAUAACAAUUGUUUCUAACUAGCUUUUCUCCUAAAUGGGUGUGAACUACAAUUUCUUCCUCUAAUAGUGAUAGGUUUCUAUCAGUAAUUGAUGCAAAUGUCAUACUCAUAUAAGACCUAUCUGAGCCAAAAUCUAUCAAAACAUAAGCAUCUUUAUCAAAUAAGGACAUAGUACCUGUCACAGCUCUAGAUCAGACCCGUGCCUCAUUUUUCGUCACAGCGAAAACUCUUGUCGAAGUACGAGUCUGUGGUCUCGAAGGUGGAUAUGUCGGGGUGUUACUCUCUACACCAGACUGUAUAGCUACUCUUUGCCUCGAUGGUAACUUAGAAGGAUCUUUCCUCUGCAUAUCCGUACAAGCUGAUGGAGAUGGAGCAUUUGCAGUAGCCCGUCCUAGCUGUGGGCAAUCACUCCUAAUGUGACCCAGCUGACCAUAAUGAAAACAUCGUAUUGGUCCCCUACACGGCCCAAAAUGAUUCUUCCCACACUUCUUGCAUCUAUCAGAACCUCUAGAACUCUUUCCAGAAGUAGUCAUCGCAGAUACGUUAAAUCUCGGAGGCCUCUGCAGUGUUUGUGAAAAUAGAGGUCAAGGAGAUGUCAUUGAAAUAGAGGUAGUACUCCUUGAAGCAGAUGAGUCUUUGCCCCUUUUUGGUGGCUGACUGGAAGAUAUACUCAUAUUUCUCUUUUUUAUAAACUCAGCUCGCAUUCUCCUAUUUUCAUUUGCAAGCUUCUCGGCGCUUAAAGCCAUCUGUACCACCUCUUUAUGUGGCUCCUUACCAGUCACCGUCAUCCGCUCUCUAAUCUCAUUACGGAGCUCUUCCUUGAAAUAAUUGACUUAAUCUUGCUCAAAUUUCACCAGAUUCGGCACAUAUAACAUCAGCUCGUUAAAACAAGCUUCGUACUCCUCUACAGUUAAAUUUCCCUGUUUCAAACUCAAAAAUUCUCUCUUCUUUUCUUUCUGAUGAAAAUAAGUAAAAUACUAACCAUCAAAUUCUCUUAAAAAGUCUGACCAGGUCGGAGGAGUAGUGGAAUGGGAUUUUACUGAAUUCCACCAUGUACGAGCUCUCUUCUCUAGUAAUCUUGUGGCCACCAUCAACUUCAGGUCAUCAUCCAACCUCAUAUCAGAGAGGGUCUCUGAAACCUGAUUAAUCCAAUCUUUGGCUACGGUUGCGUCCAACUCACUUGUAAAAGAAAUGCAACUUAGUUGUCUAGUCUCCUUCAGCUUCUUAGAAAUAGAUACAUCCUGUACUGGUAGUGGAACUGGAAGUGGGGGUGGUGGUACUGAAGGAGCAACUGGUGGUACUAUAGGAGGAGCCUGACCAAUUUGAGCCUAGCCAGCAAUAGCGGUAAAGAAGGCUGCCAAUGUCUGGAUUGCCUCAAGAGACACGGUAGGAAUACCAGUAGGUGGCAAUGAUGUGAAGAAUGUGGAAGAUGUGGAGGAGUUUCGGCCUGCUCAGCAGUAGGUGCUGCCCGAAUGGUGGACGCAGCCUAUUCCUCCUCUACUACAUCUAGCUGAUGAUGUCGAGAACGACCUCUCCCCCUCCCAGCCGAUCUAGUGAGAGGUGGGUGUUCGCGUUGAGGAGGCAUGAUAAUCUAUAAGAGGAAACAAGCAAGUUUAGGAAACCUCAAGCUCUAUAUGCUAAUGCAUACAUUCUAUUCAACCUAACCUAACUUAACCCGGGGCCACAUUGACACUGUAAAUUUUUAAAACAACUUUUAAACCAAAAGCUCUGAUACCACUUUAAUUGUCACGACCCGAUACUCCUCUCGAGCCCGUGACAACAGUCGUGGUGUCCCGAUAGACACUCAUUACCCGAAAUGCCAACCGGAACCCCGCAAGGCUUUAAUAUCAGUUUUUCAUUUCCCCUAUGAGUAACUGUUACCAAAUAUCAUGUUUUAAAAGAUUUUAAGUUAUUUCCAACUUAAAACAAUAAACAAAUGAUUUCUGUCUCACAGGGGCAUUUUGAUCAUUUUUCUUAAAAAAUUUCGAAACUAGCUAAAAAUGAAGUAUGCGAAUAUAAAACACAUAAUUCAUAAUAAAAAAUAAGUUUAAACAUCUAAAACCUUCAUUUAAAAUGAAAUUAUGACAAUUUGAAUAUAAUAAAAAUAUUCAAUAAAAUAUUCUAUUUUCUUAUAAAACAAUAUUUAUAAAAUUACCGGUAAAUAAUUUUUAUAGGGUAAAAGCUAAAUAAAUUCAUACAUACUGUAAUACAGAUAACCAAAGUAUAAAAUUUAAUUUAUAGUGACACGUGGGCCCUCAAUUGACAAAAGUGAACGAAGGUUAUGAACCUACGAUUUUUGAGGAAGUAAAGCCAAUUGCAGCCUUCGAUGAUAUCAGCUAUCUACAGUCUAUUUUGAGCUUGAAAUGGGUGGAAAGAAGGGUAGUGAAAUUAUAUAAUCCCAGUGAAUAAACAAACACCAUCCAAAAUAUCUAAAGUCGAAUAAAUAGAGACGAUUAAAAUAUUCCAUCUCAAUAUGUAAUUCAUAACAUAAAUAUUCAUUUCAUUUAAAUAAUCAACAUGGCUUAUAAGUAUCUUAAAAGCUUGGCUCUUACCAAAAUCAUUCUCGGGAAUACCUUGGUCGAGUCAUCUAACCGAGUCCGCCAAGGCUGUUAAAAAUUUCGUAUACACGUAAACAUAUUUUUAGUUUGAAAAACACAGCCGUUCCUUGCGUUAGCGAAGUUCAUCAUCAUGAGGUGGUUCGGCGUGACGUGAACUCUAAUCAUACCUCAGGAGAUACCCUACGCACCUUUCUGACCGAGGUACGAAUAUAACCGGAUUC
This 8274-nucleotide long non-coding RNA is filed under the name Theobroma cacao (cacao). RNAcentral describes it as "long non-coding RNA (TCAC_LNC005033)". Lineage: Eukaryota; Viridiplantae; Streptophyta; Magnoliopsida; Malvales; Malvaceae. The record is from RNAcentral.